AGCAGCCGCGGUAACUCCAGCUCCAAUAGCGUAUAUUAAAGUUGUUGCAGUUAAAAAGCUCGUAGUUGAAUUUCGGGAUUGACACAUCGGUCGUGCCUUAAGGGGUGUGAACUGGUGUAGUCAAUUUCUCACCUUCUGGAGAACCGCGAUGUCCUUAAUUGGGUGCCGCGAGGAACCAGGACCUUUACUUUGAAAAAAUUAGAGUGUUUAAAGCAGGCAUUUUUGCUUGAAUACAUUAGCAUGGAAUAAUAAAAUAGGACGGCAUGAUUCUAUUUUGUUGGUUUCUAGGAUCACCGUAAUGAUUAAUAGGGAUAGUUGGGGGCAUUAGUAUUCAAUUGUCAGAGGUGAAAUUCUUGGAUUUAUUGAAGACUAACUACUGCGAAAGCAUUUGCCAAGGAUGUUUUCAUUAAUCAAGAACGAAAGUUAGGGGAUCGAAGACGAUCAGAUACCGUCGUAGUCUUAACCAUAAACUAUGCCGACUAGGAAUCAGACGAUGUUAAUUUUUUAAUGACUCGUUUGG
This 520-nucleotide unclassified non-coding RNA is filed under the name uncultured Entrophospora. RNAcentral describes it as "SSU rRNA". It matches the Rfam family "Eukaryotic small subunit ribosomal RNA", at positions 569 to 1083 of the family's 1831-position model. Lineage: Eukaryota; Fungi; Glomeromycota; Glomeromycetes; Entrophosporales; Entrophosporaceae. The record is from RNAcentral.